RNAcentral lists this ribosomal RNA (497 nucleotides) under uncultured bacterium. RNAcentral describes it as "partial 16S ribosomal RNA". It matches the Rfam family "Bacterial small subunit ribosomal RNA", at positions 28 to 507 of the family's 1533-position model. The record is from RNAcentral.
GAUGAACGCUGGCGGCGUGCCUAAUACAUGCAAGUCGAGCGAACGGACGAGAAGCUUGCUUCUCUGAUGUUAGCGGCGGACGGGUGAGUAACACGUGGAUAACCUACCUAUAAGACUAGGAUAACUUCGGGAAACCGGAGCUAAUACCGGAUGAUAUUUUGAACCGCAUGGUUCAAAAGUGAAAGACGGUCUUGCUGUCACUUAUAGAUGGAUCCGCGCUGCAUUAGCUAGUUGGUAAGGUAACGGCUUACCAAGGCAACGAUGCAUAGCCGACCUGAGAGGGUGAUCGGCCACACUGGAACUGAGACACGGUCCAGACUCCUACGGGAGGCAGCAGUAGGGAAUCUUCCGCAAUGGGCGAAAGCCUGACGGAGCAACGCCGCGUGAGUGAUGAAGGUAUUCGGAUCGUAAAACUCUGUUAUUAGGGAAGAACAUAUGUGUAAGUAACUGUGCACAUCUUGACGGUACCUAAUCAGAAAGCCACGGCUAACUACGUG